GCGCAGCAGUCGCGCAAACUUUGCAAUACACGAAAGUGUGACAGGGCUAUCCCGAGUGCCGUCCGCUGAGGGUGGCUUUUACCCAGUCUAUAAAGCUGGGAGAAUAAGGAGAGGGCAAGUCUGGUGUCAGCCGCCGCGGUAAUACCAGCUCUCCGAGUGGUGUGGAUGUUUAUUGGGCCUAAAGCAUCCGUAGCUUGCCAAGCAAGUCCCCUGUUAAACCCACCGAAUUAAUCGUUGGAUUGCAGGGGAUACUGCUCGGCUAGGGGACGGGAGAGGCCGACGGUAUUUCCGGGGUAGGGGUGAAAUCCUAUAAUCCCGGGAAGACCACCAGUGGCGAAGGCUGUCGGCUAGAACGCGCCCGACGGUGAGGGAUGAAAGCUGGGGGAGCGAACCGGAUUAGAUACCCGGGUAGUCC
This 415-nucleotide ribosomal RNA is filed under the name uncultured crenarchaeote. RNAcentral's name for it is "partial 16S ribosomal RNA". It matches the Rfam family "Archaeal small subunit ribosomal RNA", at positions 330 to 747 of the family's 1478-position model. The record is from RNAcentral. Lineage: Archaea; Thermoproteati; Thermoproteota.